AUUGAACGCUGGCGGCAUGCCUUACACAUGCAAGUCGAACGGUAACGGGUCCUUCGGGAUGCCGACGAGUGGCGAACGGGUGAGUAAUAUAUCGGAACGUGCCCAGUAGUGGGGGAUAACUGCCCGAAAGAGCAGCUAAUACCGCAUACGACCUGAGGGUGAAAGGGGGGGAUCGCAAGACCUCUCGCUAUUGGAGCGGCCGAUAUCAGAUUAGCUAGUUGGUGGGGUAAAGGCCUACCAAGGCAACGAUCUGUAGUUGGUCUGAGAGGACGACCAGCCACACUGGGACUGAGACACGGCCCAGACUCCUACGGGAGGCAGCAGUGGGGAAUUUUGGACAAUGGGCGCAAGCCUGAUCCAGCAAUGCCGCGUGCAGGAAGAAGGCCUUCGGGUUGUAAACUGCUUUUGUCAGGGAAGAAAUCUUCUGGGCUAAUACCCCGGGAGGAUGACGGUACCUGAAGAAUAAGCACCGGCUAACUACGCGCCAGCAGCCGCGGUAAUACGUAGGGUGCGAGCGUUAAUCGGAAUUACUGGGCGUAAAGCGUGCGCAGGCGGCUUUGCAAGACAGAUGUGAAAUCCCCGGGCUCAACCUGGGAACUGCAUUUGUGACUGCAAGGCUAGAGUACGGCAGAGGGGGAUGGAAUUCCGCGUGUAGCAGUGAAAUGCGUAGAUAUGCGGAGGAACACCAAUGGCGAAGGCAAUCCCCUGGGCCUGUACUGACGCUCAUGCACGAAAGCGCGGGGAGCAAACAGGAUUAGAUACCCUGGUAGUCCACGCCCUAAACGAUGUCAACUGGUUGUUGGACGGCUUGCUGUUCAGUAACGAAGCUAACGCGUGAAGUUGACCGCCUGGGGAGUACGGCCGCAAGGUUGAGACUCAAAGGAAUUGACGGGGACCCGCACAAGCGGUGGAUGAUGUGGUUUAAUUCGAUGCAACGCGAAAAACCUUACCUACCCUUGACAUGUCAAGAAUUCUGCAGAGAUGUGGAAGUGCUCGAAAGAGAACUUGAACACAGGUGCUGCAUGGCCGUCGUCAGCUCGUGUCGUGAGAUGUUGGGUUAAGUCCCGCAACGAGCGCAACCCUUGUCAUUAGUUGCUACGCAAGAGCACUCUAAUGAGACUGCCGGUGACAAACCGGAGGAAGGUGGGGAUGACGUCAGGUCCUCAUGGCCCUUAUGGGUAGGGCUACACACGUCAUACAAUGGCCGGUACAGAGGGCUGCCAACCCGCGAGGGGGAGCCAAUCCCAGAAAACCGGUCGUAGUCCGGAUCGUAGUCUGCAACUCGACUGCGUGAAGUCGGAAUCGCUAGUAAUCGCGGAUCAGCUUGCCGCGGUGAAUACGUUCCCGGGUCU
This 1352-nucleotide ribosomal RNA is filed under the name uncultured bacterium. RNAcentral's name for it is "bacterial SSU rRNA". It matches the Rfam family "Bacterial small subunit ribosomal RNA", at positions 28 to 1381 of the family's 1533-position model. The record is from RNAcentral.